RNAcentral lists this ribosomal RNA (255 nucleotides) under uncultured bacterium. RNAcentral's name for it is "partial 16S ribosomal RNA". It matches the Rfam family "Bacterial small subunit ribosomal RNA", at positions 99 to 354 of the family's 1533-position model. The record is from RNAcentral.
CGGACGGGUGAGUAACGCGUGGGUAACCUGCCUCAUACAGGGGGAUAACAGUUAGAAAUGACUGCUAAUACCGCAUAAGCGCACGAGAUCGCAUGAUAAAGUGUGAAAAACUCCGGUGGUAUGAGAUGGACCCGCGUCUGAUUAGCUGGUUGGCGGGGUAACGGCCCACCAAGGCGACGAUCAGUAGCCGGCCUGAGAGGGUGAACGGCCACAUUGGGACUGAGACACGGCCCAAACUCCUACGGGAGGCAGCAG